Molecule: unclassified non-coding RNA, 2143 nt
Filed under: Hevea brasiliensis (rubber tree)
Lineage: Eukaryota; Viridiplantae; Streptophyta; Magnoliopsida; Malpighiales; Euphorbiaceae
Source: RNAcentral
CCUACUUAAUCCGUAAUUUGAUAUAUUUCAAACUUUGUAUCCAGCAAUGUAAUUGCCAGGCUAUUACUUCAAUAUCAUAUGAUUUGAAAGAUUCAUAAAGGAAUAAUUACAAUAAACACUACAUAUAGUAGUUAAUACUGAAUAUUAAUUCAAAAAAUCCUUAUUCUCUAUCAUAAAAAGAAUUAAAUAUAGGCUCUUUGGCAUCGGUCCAAAAAUGAUUUACUGCACCGUUGGACCCUCUUCUUUAAUGCAAAACCAUGUAUAGUCCUUAUCUCGCUAAUGCUUCACAUGCACUGUUUGUUUGCUUGUUUUUCAUAUCCCUCUGCCAUUAAAUCGUCACCUUGUUCAACAUCCAUAAACACAGUUGUACGAACUCUGGAAUAGUACUCGAUUCAUUAGGAUAUAUAACAUUUGUAAUAUUCUUUUAUCGAUUAUUCACGCAUUCUCACUGAUUUUGCUUUAUGCUUUGCACCAAUUUACCAGUUGUUGAAACCAUGCAAAAUUACGUGCAUAAAACGUUUAAUUUUCAUAGCAACGUAGAUACACACACCCUUUUACUGUUACAUAUUACUACAAACAAAUUACCAAAUCUCACAUCGUCUCGGCUGAUGCAUUAUUCAGCAAGCUCUAAGCGGUUUUCCGCAAAGGCAAUCAUUAUAAGCAAACGAUGACGCUUCAAGAUGAUCGAACGGAGCACCUGCCGGAAUUUUCCCGCAUAGGUGGUUGUGACUCAGAUCCAAGUGCCCUAUAUACGAUGCUGCUGAUAAAGAUUUUGGUAUUGGCCCCCGAAAACCAUUAUACGAUAAAUCAAGAACCGUAAAGUAGGAUCUCACGCUGAAAACAUCCGGUAAAUAUCCUUCAAAUGCGUUCUUGCUUAGAUUCAAAUUGCUAAUACCCGAAUUGAACAAGCUUGCUGGUAUAACCCCUGAAAGCUUGUUAACGUCCAGAUUUAGUGUCGCUAAUACGGCCAUUCUACCCAGAGAAGGAGGUAUAGUGCCCGAUAGUCUGUUCAACGAAAGAUCCAAAUCGGCAAGACGGUAAAUAUUUGAAAUAGAAGUCGGUAUUGACCCGCUAAUAUAAUUGUGGCUAAGCAAAGCACGGCUCAACAUUCUGAGACGCCCGAAGUUUACAGGAAGUGGGCCCGAGAUUCGGUUGCUACGCAAAUCCAGGUGCAUCAUACUGGAAAGAUUCGUCAAAGAACGCGGGAUCUCACCGGAUAUAAGAUUAUCGGCGACGUUCAGCACAGUUAAUCUUUGUAAUCGCCCUAUAUCAGCAGGAAGAUCACCAGAGAGCCGAUUCCCAAUCAAAUCAAGAAUCCUUAGAAAUGGAAGCGAAGUAAUGCACCGCGGGAUCUCCCCGGAUAUCCCUUUCCAAUCUGCAAUUAUAAGACUCGAGAGGCGCUCUAGCUUGCAGAUGGAAGUAGAGAUUGUACCAGUCAUAUAACCGGACCUGCCAGCUUUUCGAAAGAUGGGAUCUUCGGACUCACCUCGGAGGUUUAAAUCUGCGACACGAUGCGUCUCUGGGUCGCAACUGACGCCAUACCACUUAUAACAGCAGUCGGUGCCGGUCCAAGAAUUGAAGAUGCCCAAAUAAGGCUCGCGGAGUGCUGCUUUGACGGCCAGCAGAGCAGCGCGGUCCGACGGUGGGCAGCUAUUAACAGUGUAAACAGUGGCUAAAGACGCCAUUAACGCAAUAUAUAAGAAUGCGGCCAUGGUUUUUGUGUAGUUUCUCUCUCUUUCUACGUAAGGUUUCUGUCUCUACAGUGAGUGACGAAAUAGAGUUGAUUGAGAGUUUAAGCUCAGGUGAGAUGUGAAACAUGUGCAGGACCUGACAACGUUGUCGUGAUAUAUAUAUGCAUUGAGAAUUUUCUUUCGUGACGGAUUUGCCCCUAAGUUCCGAAGCUCUGCCGCUUCCCCAAAAUGAUGGUCCUGGAUAAUUACAGGUUUGUUUAUCUAUCUCAUAGAAUUGAUGGUUGAACAACUUACAAAGAUAAGAUGCAAGGACGUAUGAGUGAAAUUGUGAGUCUCCACUGCAAUUAACUUUUCGGUUACCAUAUAUAUAUAGCUUGUCAUUGCAAUUGCAGGAUAGGAAUGAGGGGCUUGGGGAGUUGAAUCUAAUAAUUCAGUGUGAACACAUCAACAAU